UGACAUAAAAUAUUCGAGGUUCUUGUGAUCUGUUGUCGUGUGACGUAUUUUUCAAUCUGAGAAUACACCAGGUAUCUAGCUGUAGAGAGUUUAGGUUUCCUUUGUAUAUAAUGCCUUAGCUCCCCAAAAAAAAAGCUCUUUGUUUUGUAUAAAAUGUCAAAAUAUAUUAAAAUUCUUCAAAAUAUAUUUCUUCCCGCCAAAGACUUUUUUACAUCAGACUUUGGAAAUUCAUAUAUGUUGAUCCAACCGUUCACUUUGUUUCAAAUUUCUUCCUAAGCUAGAUGCUAUACUUAACUUGUACCACAAAAAACUUGAACUGUACAUCUAUCACCGAUCGUUCGGCAUCUUAGAAACCCUAGCAGGUGCACAAAACCCUAACUUACAAGCACCCGAAAACUAUUUUCCUUAUAUCUCUUAAACCCAAGCUCCAAAUCACACAAAACUUAUGUAGAAAGCUUUAUAACAAGGUUACACACAAUCUUGGAAAUUUUGAGCUAAAACCUCAUCAAAUUGUCUAAGAUAUAGCUCAAAUCACAAGCACAAGUAAUUCGGGCUACUUACUACCCUUAGAUAUCAAGCACUGACUUCAACUGCCAAUAUCUCCUUCAUCAAAGCUUGGAAUUCGAUAAACAGUAUGCACAAAUUGUAGCCGAAAAAUUGCUCUCUUCAAAUCCGAUCGCCGAUCCUCGUUUGCUGUCCGUACGCGUGCGGUAUGCUCAAAAGAGUGACAGUACGUUGAAAACUUACACCUUAACUUUGAGCGCCUAUAACUUCUUCAUAUAAACCCCAAAUGACACAAAUUUUGCACCCAAACCAUAUCCAAAAACCUAAACCUUCUGACCUUAGCCUCAAAAACUCGAAUGGCCGCGAGAAACUAACCCUAAUCCCUAAUAUGGCCUCGGGCAGCCUCCUCAAAGCCCAUUGGUCAUGAUUUUUGACCAAUAGGAAUGGAGAUUUUUAUUAUUUAUCUCCAUUCAUCCAUAUUGGUGCCCUAAUUAAUCCUUUUGCUAUCAAAACCCCCUUCUUCAUCCCUUUUCUUAUAAGAUUUUUACAAUGAGUCUUUUUAACACCAAAUAAAAAAUCCAAAAGAAGUUUUCAAAGGUCACCAAUGUCUAACAAAGGUGACUCUAAAUAUUUAGAAGUUACUAUCAACCAAAACCAAUCUUAAAAGCCACUAUCAAAAGAAAUUAAAGUUAUAAAAAUUCUAUAGUAAUCUUUUUAAACAACCUCUUCUCAAAGUAAUAAUCAAAUUAUAUCCUACAACCAACUAAAUCUACUAACAUGGCUCUUACCAUGUUACUUAAUAAAUUAUAUAUUAAGUACAUAAUUACAUUAUUUUCAUAUAGUAGCCGAACCACAACACGACAUCCACCCCCUCUAAACCUAUGCAUCUUCCCGUAUGCACCAAGAGAAUCAAAGUUGUGGUCGGCAUCAUGUUACGUCUUCAGCAAUGUCUUCUUCAAAAUCCAAUUCUUCUUCCUCAUAACUAGAUGGAUCAAAUUCUUCUUCAACAUCUUCAAGGAUUAAUUCUUGAUUCCGUUGUUUGAAAAUUUUUAUACGUUUUCCUGCAAUUGGGAUUUUGAGUCUUGUUCCGUCUAAUUUCCUUAAUGCAUAUGUAGCAUUAUGUAAAACAUGUACAACCACAUAAGGCCCAAACCAACGCUUAGAAAACUUUUUAAGAGCACUAUAUUGAUUAUCCAAGCUGUUGUCAUAUACCAAAAUCCAAUCACCUUCUUGAAUAUCUUUUGGCCUCAACCUGUGUCGCUUAUCAAAUCUAUCUUUAUUCUUCAAGCGUGACUCUCUUAACCUUAUAAUUGUUUUUUUCACAUCUUCAAGUCUUCUUUCUAGUUGACAAAUUUGAAGUACAAGAAGUUCUUCUUUAGAUAUAUUGUCUUGCCAAGGUAAGAUACUCCAAGUAGGUACUUGCUCUUCAAUGGGCAUAAUGGGCUUCUGUCCUUGCAUUAACUCUGCUGGCAUAUAUCCUGUCACUGAACUGUGAGUAGUCCGAUCAGCCCAAAGAGCAAAUGGCAAUAAUCUUGGCCAUUCUCUUACUCUUCCUUUGCAGGCUUUAACAAUGGCCUUUACAAUAGGAAGACGACCUCUCUCACUCUUAGCAUUGCCUUCUGAAUUAUAAGAUGUAGUAAGUGCUAGCUUGAUUCCACAUCUCUCAAAGAAUUGUCUAGCCUCAUCUGUAUCCAAUUCCCCACGAUCAGCAGUAAUUUUUCCAAUACAUCCAUAUCUACAAAUCACGUCUUCCAAUAAAAAUCUACAAACUCCUUCAGUGGAUUUUGUUCGUAGAGUUUUUCCUUCUACUUGGUUAGAUAAAUCUUCUCGUACCAGAGCCAAGUAUCGCAUUUUCCAUAUUCCCAUCGGCAUAGUAACGAGAUCUACAACCCAUUUAUAAUAUACUGCAAGUGGAUAUGUAGGAUGCAAUCCAUCUCUAUGUCGAAUCUCCGAGUAUAUAUGACAGGUUUGGCAUGAUUCUACAAACUUCACCACAUCUCUAUACAUAUUACGCCACCAAUAUUUUUCUUUGAGCUUGUUAAAGGUGGCAUAAAUACCUCUAUGUUCAGCCCACAAACUAUCAUGAAAUUUAUGGAUUAGUUGUUCUUGCAUCUCUUUCUUGCAAACUACUCUUUGUGGCAUUCCACUAUCCCGUUUGCAUCGCUUCCAUAGGUAACCACCUUGUAAGAGGUAAUUAUAAGCCUUUCGUCUAAUCUGCUUGAAAUAAAUAUCACUCCAUCCUGAUUGUCUUGAUAAUGUGCUUAAAUAGCGUCCAAUAUCAAUCCAUUCUUCUUCAUACAAUUCUUCUAUAAAUAGUCUUGGAUAUUCAUCUUCUCUUUGUUGUGCCCUAGAAUAAAAGGUAGUACCUAUAUCUUCAGUAUCUUCAAUCAAAUCUUCUUCUUAUUCAUAUCUGGCUCGGGAUAACAUAUCUGCUACAAGAUUAUCCUUGCCUGCUAUAUGCCUAAUUUCAGGAUUCAAAGAUUUAAUGUAUGCAAUCCAUCUUAGCAUAGCAAUAUCAGGGGUGUUACAAUUGGUAAUCAUUCCCAAUAGUGGCAAGCAAUCUGUUUCCACUAUCACUGGUGCUCCAAUUAAAUAAUCUCUUUCACUUUUCAUAGCUGUAAUUAUUCCCCAUAGCUCCCGUUUCACCUAAAGAUAGUUUCUUUGUCGUUCACUUAAUACUUUAGCUCCAAAUCUAAUGGCAAACCUAUUUCCUUCUUCAUCAUUUUGUCUUAAAGCCCAACCAACAGCUAUUGGACUAGUAUCAACUGUAAGUAUCACCGAUUUACCAUCCUCAUAACUUAUUCUUCGCAAUACAGAUGGAGAAGAUAAUAAUUGUUUUAACUUUUGAAUUAUUUCUGUAUGUUUUUUCUCCCAUUUAAAUCUCUUCCCUUUUCGUAGCAAACUAUAAAGAGGAUCAGCUACAUGUGCAUAAUGAAGAAUCCAUACACAAUAAAAUAUGCAAGCUCCUAAAAUCCUCCAUACUUCUAUUUCUGAGCUACAAAAAUCCUUCAUUCGUUGUAUAGCAUCCACCUUAUUAGGAUCAGGUUUGCAACCAAACCAUCCACAUAAAUGCCCUACAAUAACAACUUCUCGAAUUCCAAAAGUAGAUUUAGCUCCUGACAGUGUCAAGUGAACCUCCUCAAGUCGAGAUAAAAUUUUGUCACAGUCUAAAAUAUGAUUAGAUACAAAUUUACGGCACCCCUUCUGAUCUAUUGUUUCAUCUUUUUCUUCUUCCACACACCUUUUUAUUGGAAUAUCAUCCAAAAAGGGCAUAGUCUUUUUUGGAAUGAAAUCACAAAGAACCUUAUUCAUUCCAUUCAUCAUAUGAGCUACUGAAUUUGUUGCUCCUUGUGGCAAUGUACACAUCUUAACCAACCGUAAAGGUGUCCUCAUAGUAGUAACAUCUUUGCUUCCUUCAGCUAGUUGAAAUUGAUCAUAUCCAGAAUAAAGAUCUCCAACAGAGUAAAUAGCUCUACCAGCAAAUGCCUCAACAAAUUCUCCAACAAUUGGUCCAACUCCAGUAUUUCUAAUAGUUACUUGAUUUAUUGGUUGCAUAUCUUGAAUAAACCAUAGUGUUCUAUUUUUCUUUGGUACUAUAAACCAACGGCUAGAAUAUGGUGCAAAUGAUGGCUCGAGGAUCUUCAUUUACAUCUUUUCUUUUAAAAGCUUCAUAAGUUUAGGUAGAUGUGCUUUAGGCACUGAAAAUCUCUCUUUGUAAAUCAUUGCCAGCUGAUUGAAGAAAUAACUCCACCUUAUCAUUUUCAAGUGUGAGCUUUUCUACUCGAGACAAUUGAAGAAACUGUCUUUCAAACUCUCGAAAUAACUCUGUUGCAACCAAAUCCUUGUUGGAUUUAUUGACCCAUUCCAUAAACGAUUUUCUUGUCACCCUUUCUGCAUCUUUCAAAGAAUACUCUCUUUUUAGCUGAAGGGUAAAAUCCUCCCAUUUCUCUCCAUGAGUUUUAAUAAUCCCCUUUAUAUGCUCACGAAGCUCUGGUACAAUUGCAAGCUCAAAUGUUAGGAUCAUAUCUUUCUCCGGCACUUUAUUGAGCUCUAUCUCUCGAGAAUAAUACUUAAGAUACUUGGAAAUAUUUCUUCCAUCAAAUUCAUCCAAUAAACCAACAACAGAUUGUAAGGCUUUAGUAGCCAUUACCUCCUUGCGCUCCACAGCUUGCUGUUGUUGCAUAAAAAGUGUAAAUGCUUGAAACAUUUGAGUUGUAGUAGGAUCAAGUUGCAAUGGAGAUUCUCCAAUGCAAUUCCUACUACCACUUCCUUGCCCCCCUUCCAUAAUAAAAGCCAAAAUAUUUCUUCAAAGCUCUCUACCCCAGCAAUUUUCACGUCGGGUUCACAAAUCUAUCGUGUGACAUGUUUUUCAAUCUGAGAAUACACCAGGUAUCUAGCUGUAGAGAGUUUAGGUUUCCUUUGUAUAUAAUUCCUUAGCUCCCCAAAAAAAAAGCUCUUUGUUUUGUAUAAAAUGUCAAAAUAUAUUAAAAUUCUUCAAAAUAUAUUUCUUCCCGCCAAAGACUUUUUUACAUCAGACUUUGGAAAUUCAUAUAUGUUGAUCCAACCGUUCACUUUGUUUCAAAUUUCUUCCUAAGCUAGAUGCUAUACUUAACUUGUACCACAAAAAACUUGAACUGUACAUCUAUCACCGAUCGUUCGGCAUCUUAGAAACCCUAGCAGGUGCACAAAACCCUAACUUACAAGCACCCGAAAACUAUUUUCCUUAUAUCUCUUAAACCCAAGCUCCAAAUCACACAAAACUUAUGUAGAAAGCUUUAUAACAAGGUUACACACAAUCUUGGAAAUUUUGAGCUAAAACCUCAUCAAAUUGUCUAAGAUAUAGCUCAAAUCACAAGCACAAGUAAUUCGGGCUACUUACUACCCUUAGAUAUCAAGCACUGACUUCAACUGCCAAUAUCUCCUUCAUCAAAGCUUGGAAUUCGAUAAACAGUAUGCACAAAUUGUAGCCGAAAAAUUGCUCUCUUCAAAUCCGAUCGCCGAUCCUCGUUUGCUGUCCGUACGCGUGCGGUAUGCUCAAAAGAGUGACAGUACGUUGAAAACUUACACCUUAACUUUGAGCGCCUAUAACUUCUUCAUAUAAACCCCAAAUGACACAAAUUUUGCACCCAAACCAUAUCCAAAAACCUAAACCUUCUGACCUUAGCCUCAAAAACUCGAAUGGCCGCGAGAAACUAACCCUAAUCCCUAAUAUGGCCUCGGGCAGCCUCCUCAAAGCCCAUUGGUCAUGAUUUUUGACCAAUAGGAAUGGAGAUUUUUAUUAUUUAUCUCCAUUCAUCCAUAUUGGUGCCCUAAUUAAUCCUUUUGCUAUCAAAACCCCCUUCUUCAUCCCUUUUCUUAUAAGAUUUUUACAAUGAGUCUUUUUAACACCAAAUAAAAAAUCCAAAAGAAGUUUUCAAAGGUCACCAAUGUCUAACAAAGGUGACUCUAAAUAUUUAGAAGUUACUAUCAACCAAAACCAAUCUUAAAAGCCACUAUCAAAAGAAAUUAAAGUUAUAAAAAUUCUAUAGUAAUCUUUUUAAACAACCUCUUCUCAAAGUAAUAAUCAAAUUAUAUCCUACAACCAAC
RNAcentral lists this long non-coding RNA (6090 nucleotides) under Physcomitrium patens. RNAcentral describes it as "long non-coding RNA (PPAT_LNC008431)". Lineage: Eukaryota; Viridiplantae; Streptophyta; Bryopsida; Funariales; Funariaceae. The record is from RNAcentral.